GACGACGCUGGCGGCGUGCCUAACACAUGCAAGUCGAGCGGAGUCGAUCGACGGAAGCCUUCGGGCGGAAGAUGGUUGACUUAGCGGCGGAUGGGUGAGUAACGCGUGGGCAACCUGCCUCGAAGACCGGGAUAACAGCCCGAAAGGGCUGCUAAUACCGGAUGUGGUCAAGGAUCCGCAUGGAUUUUUGAUUAAAGGGGAAACCCGUUUCGAGAUGGGCCCGCGUCCUAUCAGCUAGUUGGUGAGGUAAAAGCUCACCAAGGCGACGACGGGUAGCCGGCCUGAGAGGGUGACCGGCCACACUGGAACUGAGACACGGUCCAGACUCCUACGGGGGGCAGCAGUGGGGAAUCUUCCACAAUGGGCGAAAGCCCGAUGGAGCGACGCCGCGUGAGCGAAGAAGGCCUUCGGGUUGUAAAGCUCUGUCUGGAGGGACGAAGGAAGUGACGGUACCUCCGGAGGAAGCCACGGCUAACUACGUG
RNAcentral lists this ribosomal RNA (482 nucleotides) under uncultured bacterium. RNAcentral's name for it is "bacterial SSU rRNA". It matches the Rfam family "Bacterial small subunit ribosomal RNA", at positions 33 to 507 of the family's 1533-position model. The record is from RNAcentral.